RNAcentral lists this long non-coding RNA (30231 nucleotides) under Malus domestica (apple). RNAcentral describes it as "long non-coding RNA (MDOM_LNC008672)". The record is from RNAcentral. Lineage: Eukaryota; Viridiplantae; Streptophyta; Magnoliopsida; Rosales; Rosaceae.
GCAAAGGCAAUUGCUGGUGAAGCUGGUGUUCCAUUUUUCUCCAUCUCAGGUUCUGAGUUUGUUGAAAUGUUUGUUGGUGUUGGUGCUUCCCGAGUUCGUGAUCUUUUUAAGAAGGCCAAGGAGAAUGCACCUUGCAUUGUAUUUGUUGAUGAAAUUGACGCUGUUGGACGGCAAAGAGGAACUGGAAUUGGUGGAGGGAACGAUGAAAGGGAACAAACCCUUAAUCAGCUUUUGACAGAAAUGGAUGGUUUUGAGGGCAACACUGGUAUCAUUGUGGUUGCAGCGACUAACAGGGCAGAUAUUCUUGACUCUGCCUUACUGAGGCCUGGCCGGUUUGACAGGCAGGUGUCUGUUGAUGUCCCAGACAUUCGAGGAAGAACAGAGAUCUUAAAGGUUCAUGCUAGCAAUAAGAAGUUUGAUGGAAGUGUUUCCCUUGAUGUUGUAGCCAUGAGGACACCCGGCUUCAGUGGGGCUGAUCUCGCAAACCUCCUUAAUGAAGCAGCUAUAUUGGCUGGUCGACGUGGGAAGUCAGCAAUUUCAUCUAAAGAGAUUGAUGAUUCAAUUGAUAGAAUAGUGGCUGGAAUGGAAGGAACAGUAAUGACAGAUGGAAAGAGUAAAAGUCUGGUGGCAUAUCACGAAGUUGGGCAUGCCAUCUGUGGGUAAGUGAUAUUUUAGUCUUUUAUUGGGUUGUUCUUAUGAUGCUCAAGUAACUCAAAUUGCAGAAUAAGAAACUUAAAUGACCCAAAAUAACGUUUUGUAUUCUCCUCAAUGCAGGACAUUGACUCCAGGGCAUGAUGCUGUUCAAAAGGUGACAUUAGUCCCUCGUGGUCAGGCUCGGGGUCUUACAUGGUUUAUUCCUGCAGAUGAUCCUACCUUGAUCUCCAAGCAGCAACUGUUUGCAAGAAUUGUUGGUGGACUUGGUGGUAGAGCCGCAGAGGAAGUGAUCUUUGGCGAGCCUGAGGUGACAACAGGUGCAGCUGGUGAUUUGCAGCAGAUCACUGGUUUGGCCAAACAGGUAAUUGAACAUAUUUGUUAUCUUCUCAUAGAAAUUGAAAAUGUCAGAUGACACUACUAGUUCUAUCAUACUGAGGAACUUAAUUGGCAUUGUUGCAGAUGGUCACCACCUUCGGAAUGUCUGAUAUUGGACCAUGGUCAUUGAUGGAUGCGUCCCAGAGCGGUGACGUCAUUAUGAGAAUGAUGGCAAGGAACUCAAUGUCAGAAAAGCUUGCUGAAGACAUUGAUACAGCUAUUAAGAGAUUAUCGGAUGAAGCAUAUGAGAUUGCGUUGACCCACAUAAGAAACAACCGGGAAGCCAUUGACAAGAUCGUGGAGGUCCUUCUUGAAAAGGAAACAAUGACCGGGGAUGAAUUCCGGGCACUCCUAUCCGAAUUCGCUGAAAUCCCAGUUGAAAACCGGGUCCCUGCUGCAGUUCCGUCGCCUGUAGCUGUUUAGAUAGUGCAACUCAUACCGUCAUCGACACUUAGCUAAACAUCUAUAGUUGGUAAAGGUGUAUAAAAGCUGUAAUUUUUUGUAUUACUUGUAGCGUAACGUGAUGACCAAAUAUACAUGGGCAUGAAAUUCCUCCACUCUGCAGUCUUUUAUUGAUCUUUUUGUGUUCUACAUCGUUGGUUCCAGCUUGAUAUUUAAACUCCGGUCUUCUACAGUGGUAGAGAGGAGUGUUGUCCUUGCACCAUGAUAUGGGUUCAAACUUCAUCGACUCUCUAAUCUAACACUUAAUCUAACAAAUUUAUAUUUUGACCCAAAAAAAAAAAAGAACUCUAAUUUUGGAAUUUGUAAACUCAAUUGAAUACAAAGAGACAUGGACUGCAGGACAUUUUAUACAGAAAUUUAGAGCUUGUACAUGUACAUGUCCAUCACAGUUAGAUAUAUGCAAUACUGGUUUGAUGAUAUUGCUAUUCUACGAGUUAUAACGGUUGAGAAAAAUAAAAAGAAAUAAUAGAAACAGAAAUGGCUAUUAUGUUAAUAAAAUAGUCUCACAAACUUUUCUUUUGUGUAUAAACACCUAAUCAACUUUCUUUAAUGAUAAGGACAAGAGGCAGUGGCAGUAUUGUAAUUAAGUUGAAGUUUUGUUGCACCUUUCUUCACCUUUCUUCAUAAAUUUUCAGUUAUGAAAAAACAGUUGCCGGUACUACCAAAGUUUGACAUAAUUAUGAUACUCACCACCACGCUCAAACUACUGUCACCACUUACUCAUUAUUGUCAAUAUUAUUAAUAAAAAUUAUAUAGUGUAUUUCAUUAAAAACUUGUUGCCUUAAACCCCUUUAAUUCAAGCUACCUUUGUAUUAAACAGCUCAAACUCGUUUGGAAGUAUUUUUAAAAUGACUGAAAGCUUUCACGGAAAAUGAAGGUGGAGAUACUGUAACGCGGAGUUCUAUGAUUUCUGCAUAUGGGUUUCAUGGGCGAGGAGAGGAAGCCAUUAAGCUGCUUGAGGAGAUGGAGCAGGAAGAACUGGGGGCAAAUGAUGUUACUUUCUUGAGUUUGCUUUAUGCGUGCGGUCAUUGCGGAAAGGACUUGAGUUCUUGGAUUCUAUGGUCGAAAAGUAUGUACUGCAUCUUAAAUUAGAACACUAUACAUGUGUGGUUGACCUGCUUGGCCGGUCUGGCUGUUUGGAGGAAGCCGAGGCAAUGAUACGAUCAUUGCCUGCUAAAGCAGACGCUAUCAUAUGGAAAACUUUGUUAUCUGCACAUGUAAAACCCACAAGAACGUAGACAUGGCAAGAAGGAUUGCUGAAUAAGUUAUUAGGCAAGAUCCACAGGACUCAGCGUCCUAUGUGCUACUCUCGAACAUCCAUGCUUCAGCUCUAAGGUGGCACGAUCUUUCUGAGGUGAGAAAAGCUAUGAGAUAGAGCAAGGUAAAGAAGCCGGGUAAAAGCUGCCUGGAAAUAGAAAACCGAGUUCACUAGUUCUGCGUUGGUGAGAAAAGCAAUGGGAGAUUGAUUUGUAUCUUAAAGAGCUAACAUCAGAGUUGAAGUUGCAUGGUUACGUGCCUGAUACCGGCUCUGUUUUGCAUGAUAUGAAUAAUGAGGAGAAAGAAUAUAACUUAGGCACACCAUAGUGAGAAGUUGGCGAUUGCUUUCUCCUUAAUGAACAUUCCUGAUAAUGUACCAAGAAGGGUGAUGAAGAAUUUGCGUGUUUGCAUUGAUUGUCAUGUUGUUGUUACGUACAUAUCUCUAAUAAAAAACCGAGAGAUCAUUGUACGCGAUGCUAGUAGAUUCAUCACUUUAAAGAUGGGAUGUGUUCUUGUGGAGAUUACUGGUAACGGGAGGUUAUACGGGUAAGUGUUCUUUGUAUUAACUACAUUGCAAAGAUGAAGAAUCGGUACAGAGAAAGAGAAAGGAAACAAACAAGAUUGUAUUUAUUGAUUAGAGAAAAUGUAUACAAAUGAACUUAAUAAAAGUAAUAGCUAUACAAUCCUUUAUAUAACAAGCUAUUAUAAUAAACUCUCUCCUAAAAAUAUUAAUUUAAUAUUAUAUAAACCAUUGGUUCCCAUAUUAAUUAUUAAAUUAAUAAAAAUAAUUACUACUCUUGAUUUUAGUCAAAAAGCCGAGAAAGAUAUGCUUCAUCUCUUGUUUGGCUUCUGUUUUUAUAUGCCACCUCACUAGCGUACUUCUGCCACCAGCCAAUGUGGGAUACAAAACCUCUAUGCGGUAUGUCUUUGUUGUUAUAUUCAAAUCAAAGGGACUUGUCAGCACAAGUUUGAGACAAUUGGGAGUAUAUUUUAACCUGGAAUAUGUCACGUGUUGGUAAAAUUAGUGAUAGCUGUUAUAUUUACAAUAAUUUUGAAAAUAUAUUUUAAUUGAAAUAAAGAUUUAAAUAAAUUACAAUAGAAAAUUCGAGUAAGAGACUUCAAAGAUGACGGAGUCAAGAACUCGGUUCUUUAUCCUUAAGCAAUGUUUUAAAAAUUCUCGCCUAAUCCAUACAGCUCCCCUUAGACAUUCGUUUAAGUUGCGACUCACUUAGGUAGAAAAUAGAUAACUUUCAUUUUGCAUUUUAUUUUUUUCAAUAAAUUGUAAGAGACUUGUUGAAUACUUAAAUGAACACACAUUAUAUACUUGUUCCCCAUGUUUUCAUUGUGUUUCAAUACUUCAUAAUAUAUAUGUCAUUCUAUUUGUAGUUUAUGAUGAAAUUAUAUAUAUUUUAAGUAUAAACAGAGACUUAUUUAUAUGAAAUAUAAUGGAUUUAGUUAAAUCCGCCUAGCCGCCUAGGCGUUAGGCCACAACUCGCCACCUGACUAGCGCCUAGCGUCUUUUAAAACCUUGUCCUUAAGACAAAAUUGUAUGCUCACUGGUGCUUUAGGUACCGUUUGGUACGUGGGACGGGACGGAACGGAGUGGAACGAGGCGUUCCGUCCCACAUUUGGUGCGCCUAAAGCGGAUGGAACGCGCUGUUCCACGGGACGAAUUUUGGGUGAAUUUUCGUUCCGCCUCACCCCCUGGAACGACUAGUUCCACAUUUGUGGAACACAAAAUUAUAACCUCUCCGUCUCAUUCUUCUUCCUCCUUGUUUCCAUCCGAGAGCAUCUUUGCUCCCACUCCGUUCCGUCCCGUCCCGUCUGCAUACCAAAUUAUACCUUAAGGACUUGUAUGGCGAAUUGCCUCCUCAUGACUCCAUGGUCUCUCCGUCUCUCUCUGAUUAAACUGUGUGUGUUUAAGUACUCUUUCUAAUUUGUGUUGGUAUCUGCAUGGCUCUGGUGACAAGCUGUUCGUGUCAGGAAUUUCCGUCGGGGAUGUUUCCUGGCCGACGAGCACACAGCUCCCCUGGAGGAUGGCGCCGAUUGAGGGCUGCUGUCGGGCUUCUGCUUCGCUGUCGGGCGUUGUCGGGCAAGUCUCGUCGGGCAAGUCUCGUCGGGCAAGACUCCUCGGGCAAGACUCUUCGGGCAAGGCUGAAAGAGAAGGAUAGCGUUAACUUUGAGAGGUGCCUUUGUGGGGCCUUAGGUGUAGGCCUUGAGGCUCACAAUCAAGGUUAACAUUUAGGUGCUCAGGCGUGCCACUGCCAUCUUUAGCAUGGCAGAUGUAAAAUGGUUGUCGUGCUUUAGUUGUAUAUAUGUAUGUAUCCAAGAAACCAUGUUAGUUAUAACAGGUGCCUUUGUGGGGCCUUAGGUGUAAGCCUUGAGGCUUCCCAUAAAUAACUAAACCAGUGCUCGAACGCAUCAUAUUUGUUCUCGUGGUUGUAGGAGUUUUCUAACUAUUAUACUUCUGAUUACCCGAAUCCAAGAAGUAGAAUGAACCCAAAUAGGUGUCUUUGUGGGGCCUUAGGUGUAGGCCUUGAGGCUUCCCAUCAGAGUUCAUUCUUAUACUUAGACUCUUUAGAUCGCCGAACGGAAUGAAUCCAAAUGGAUGCCUUUGUGGGGCCUUAGGUGUAGGCCUUGAGGCUUUCCAUUAGAAUCCAUUCCAUGCUCAAGCGUUCUAUGAUAAUCAUGACAUAAUAGAAAGAAAACUAGAAGGUAGGUUGAUUACUUGCGCCCCAAGUAACUUCGGACUUCUCGUUUAUCAAGGACUGUCGUGGAUAGGUUAAGUCCACAUAAAGUUCUUUUUUAUGCCUUGAGGCCAAGGACUUUUAACUGAUCAGAUUUACAUGCCCGAGGGCUUAGGACUUGGAUCUAGUUUGAACACUGACAAUAUAUUCAAAUCGGAUUCAAGUGCUGAGAAAGCUUUUUAAUAGUCAUGUUGCUAGAAAUAACUUGCAUAUAACUGGAAGUAUACAACAUAUUGAAAAGACAAAACUAAAGCAAAGAAGGUCGGGAAAGGUUAAACCUUAUCGGGUAAGGUUGCUCGUCUUACAGGUUCCUAUCUUUGUAGUUUUGUCAAAGGUCUGAAAGCUUAGAGGGGUAGAGAGAGAGAUUACAAAAGAUGAAUCGAUACUACAGCAAGGUUUAACAAGGUAGCAUAGCUAUUACAAAGGGUUGAAGAGAGGGUUAUCCCGAGAGAGAUGAAGGCUGGUCCCGAAAGGGAUGAAGGCUGAUUACAGCUUUGUUUUGAAGGCAAAUCUGGCUUUGAGCAGAGUUUGUGCUUGCAUUUGUUUGUUUGAUUGAGUGUCUUUAAUCUUGGAUUUUCUUUCUUCUUAUAUAGACAACUCGGCUUGGCCUUUGGUAGCAGCAGCUUUGCCCGAAUGCGGUUUGAGGGUGAUGACUCAUCAGCUAUUUUACAUGUAAUGCCACCAUAAAGUGCUUUAUGGGCUGUGUAGCUGACCAGUCUACACCACUUGGCUUUUGGGUAGGUAAGCAAGUGGUUUUCAUGAGCUGCACCAAGUCAGAAAAGGCCUUUCCCUGCUUUCUGGGCUUCGACUGGGCUUCGGCUAUCUCCCUUUCGGGCCUCAUUUUGGGCCAACUCCUUUCUUGAGCCCAAAGUUUCAAGUUUUGAUCCAAACAGUGCCCCCUUCAAUCAAUGUUAAGGUUGGAAUCCCAAGCGCCAACAUUGAUUGAAUACCCGCAUGCGUGUAUCUCAAUCUUUUGGAACUUCGUGUUCCCUCGACAGGAUGAAGGCAACCCCGUGCCCCUUGAGCUUCUCACGACCUCUGAACUACCCUCUGGUUUUCUAUAAAUUCUGGCUCGGAAACUCUUCUAUCAAGCCAUCAAAUCCUCUUCAUUCUUUUCUUCCAUCUUCCUCGAGCAUUUCAGAAUUUGAGAAAUGGGUUCCUUUAGCUUUGGGUGGGGUUUCCUAAAACUUCCUUUCCGUGAGAAAAAAGGCUUUCAUCAAAGAACUGCUAUCUUCAACACCCUUGGUCGAACGCCCCGCUAUCUCCAACACCCUUGGUCAGGCGGUUUCCUAUUGACAGUUUGUCUCCCUGCUCGCUGCGGUGAUAAAUCGGGCUUGACCAUUACAUAUGUUGAUGGUCCUGUCUGAGGAUCCUCUACCAGGCCCAUGUUGGCCACACAACCCGAUCACCUGAUCGGGUCCCAUCCAUGAAGACAUCAGAAAAUCAGCUGAAGAUACCAUUGCAUCCAGGAAGAGAAUUGACUGUAAUACGUUGGCCUUGAAUCUUUUGUAAAUUUCAUCAAUUUGUCGAAAUGAAAUAUACAUUAUCUCAACAACUCUUGUCUUUCCAUCUUGAAUGUUUGAUAAAUACGUAUUGCAUAAUGAUAUCCCGAAGCUCGCUUUACUUCGCAUCUUCUUCGAUAUAACAAUCUCUGACAUCCCACAACGUAGGACAAUAUUUCUUUAAGAAUUUAACGUUAAUGGGAUGUUUAUGUUUGUUUCCUUCAAGGUCCGCCAGGUAGUAUCCCCUUCUAUCUAGGACACGACUAAUAAUGAAAGGACCUUCCCAUGUCGGGCUCCAUUUUCCAAAACCCCUGAGCUGAGCUCCUAGAGGGAGGAUUGUCUUCCAUACUAAAUCCCCUUCCUUGAAAGAUUUCAUCUUCACCUUCUUGUUGUAAGCUCGGGCAACGGCUCGUUUCCCUUCUUGAAUCUGGUUCAAAGCUUCAAUUUGGGCGGCAUCCAAGUCUUCAACUCCUUGACACAUGGCUUCGACAUACUCUUCGCUAUGCAAUCCAAAUUGAUUUUGAAUUCUUAAAGAACUCACAUUGAUUUCCACGGGGAGCACUGCAUCUUGCCCGAAAGUUAAAACAUAAGGAGUUGUGCCUGUUCCUGCUCUCUUAGAAGUUAUGUAUGCCCACAAAGUGUUCCCUAGAUUUUCAUGCCAUCUUUCUGGACUAUCAAUCACCAUUCUCUUGAUAAUGUUGACCAGGAUCUUGUUGCUGGCUUCUGCCUGGCCAUUUGAUUGCGGGUAGUAUGGACUGGACUGGAUCAUCUUUAUUUUGUACUUACUUGCAAACUCCUCAACUUCUUUUGAAAUAAAAGAUGGUCCACGAUCUGUCACAAUAGUUUCGGGCACCCCAUAUCUAUGCAGGAUCUUGGUCUCGAUAAAAUUCUUGACUGUGGCUGAAUUUAUGGAUUUCACUACUGAUACUUCCACCCACUUGGUAAAGUAAUCCGUUGCCAUAAUUAUGAAGGUAUGCCCUCUGCUAGAAGCUGGAUAGAUUUGCCCGAUGAAAUCCAUUGCCCAUCCUCUGAAGGGCCAAGGCUUGACCACUGGAUUUAAAGGUACUGAGGGCACAUGCUGGAGAGGUCCGUGCCUCUGACAUUCUUCACAUCCUCGGGCAUAAGACUUACAAUCUUUUUCCAUGUCGGGCCAGAAAUAACCAUACCUCCUAAGCAACCAUUUCAUCUUCGUUCCAGCCUGAUGUGCUCCACAAACUCCUUCAUGUACUUCGGCCAUUACCCUCAUGGAUUCUUCUUAGCCCAAGCAUUUCAACAGUAACCCAUCUGGAGUUUUCCUUAGCAAGUUCUUCGCCCAUAAAACAUACUUGGUUGCUUGCUGUCUAUCCUUCUUGCUUGUAGGCGAGGAAGGAUCCUUCAAAUGGUGAAUAAUAGGUGACCUCCAAUCUUCUAUCUCGGCCUCUAGCACCAUUAUAUCUAGACUGAAUCCCCUUUCUAAGAUGGAAGGGAGGUUUCUUCUUUGGAUCUCAACAUCUACCCCAUAUUUCCUCUCCUGUAUUGGCACUCUUGCGGCUAGUUGUGCCAUCUCGUUGGCCGCUAAAUUGGAUUCCCUGGGAACAUGAUUGACCGAUAUCUCAGAAUCCCAGAAAUUCAAUAAUUGCGUAGCUGCCAAGUAAUACCCCGCCAUGGUAAUAUGUCUGCACUUGAACUCCCCAUUUAACUGGUUUAUUACCAACUCUGAAUCUCCAAAGACCUCUACCUCCUCUGCCCCCAGAUCCAUCAAGAUUUCCAGACCAAUAAUUAAGGCCUCAUACUCUGCCCGAUUAUUAGUAUUCCCCUGGUAAUCCAAGAGAAAUGAAUAAUAAUGAUAAACUCCCUGAGGGUUUACAAUUACAAUUCCUGUUCCUGAAGCCUUCUGAGUGUGGGAUCCAUCGAAAUACAACUUCCAAUGAGUGAUCCAGAGACCAGCCACUCUUCUUAUCUCUUGCUGGACCCAGUCUUCUUUGCCCGAAAUAUCUUUUCUCGGCGGGAUCCAAAUGCUAGUAACUUCUAGGCUUCCAGGGAUAUUGAUCACCUCACUUGAAGAUUCUUAAUGCUCGGUCAGGAAGUCGGCAAUUGCUUGACCUUUGACUGCCAUUUGGGGUACGUACGGAAAACUGAAUUCCGAUAAAGCUAGAAUCCAUUUCCCAAUCCUUCCUGUGAGCAUUGGCUUUGACAACAUGUACUUUAUCACAUCUGUCUUGGCGAUGAUGUGCACGUGACAAGGUAACAUGUAAUGCCUUAAUUUACUGGCAGUGAAAUAUAAAGCCAAGCAUAAUCUCUCUACCGGGGAAUACCUUGUUUCUACCUCGGUCAGGAUUCUACUGAGGUAGUACACUGCCUGCUCCUUCCCGCCCUCAUUAUUUUGGGCUAGCAAGCUUCCGAUUGAUUUUUCAGAGGCAGAGAUAUACAGCUUCAAGGGUUUUCCCCUUUGAGGUGGCACCAACACUGGUGGAGAAGUUAAAUAGGCCUUGAUGCUGUCAAAGGCUUGUUGGUGUGGUGGUUCCCAUUCAAACUUCUCUUUAUCUUUCAACCUUAGUAAAGGAGUCAGCGGCUGGAUCUUGCCUGCUAGAUUAGCAAUGAAUCUCCUCAAAAAGUUGAUUUUGCCCAGUAACCUCUGGAGUUGCACCUUGUUGGUAGGUGAAGGUGACUCCAUUAUUGCCCGAGAUUUGUUCUUAUCCACUUCUACACCUCUUUGAUGCACCAGGAAUCCCAAGAAGUUGCCUGCUCUUACUCCAAACGCACACUUCUUUGGAUUCAUCUUCAAUUUGUGGAUCCUCAUCCUUGCUAAUGUCUGUCUGAGAUCUUCCAGAUGCUGCUCUUCUGUUUUGGACUUUACCACUAUGUCAUCAAUGUAUACCUCCAUGCUCUGGCCAAUUAGAUCAUGAAAGAUGGCAUUCAUUGCCCUCUGGUAAGUUGCACCAGCGUUCUUGAGCCCGAAUGGCAUGACCAGAUAUUCAUAUGCCCCCACAUGACCGGGACACCUAAAAGCUGUUUUAUGUAUAUCUUCUGGAGCCAUCUUUAUCUGAUUGUAACCGGCAUUCCCAUCCAUAAAAGAUAGGACUUUAUGUUUUGCCACUGCAUCUAUGGAUAAGUCGGCCAUGGGCAUGGGAUACUCAUCCUUUGGUGUAGCGCCAUUAAUGUUUCUGUAAUCCACACAACAUCGUACCUCUUUUGUUACAGCUUUUAAAACGGGUACGAUGUUGGCCAACCACUUCACAUAUUUGGCUGGUCUGAUAAAGCCAGCUUUCACUAGCCUCUCAAUCUCUUCUUUGACCUUUUCUUCUAUCUCCUUUGACAUCCUCCGUGGUGCUUGCUUGACAGGUUUAUAUCCUUCCUUGAUGGGCAUUCUAUGUUCUACCAAGGUUGGAUCUAACCCUGGUAUCUCGAUAUAAUGCCAAGCAAAGCAGUCUUUGAAUUCUUGCAGAAGACAAACAAUCCUUGCCCGAUCAUCAACCCCCAAUAAACCACUGAUCUGUAUUGGUCUCGCGUCCUCCUCUGAUCCUAAAUUAAUAACUUCCAGAGGAUCCUGGACUUCUAGUGGUGGCUUAUCCGGUUCUGUACACAAAAAUUCGACCAGCUCCGGGCUCUCGGGCAAGUCGUCUGGCCCAUCUAGAUCAUAUAUGCACUCGGCCAUUUGAAUAGCCCCAUCCAGUUCUUCACUGCAAGAUUCCUCCUUGCUUUCAUGCUGGCUAGUUGAAGUUUCCUCCUGCCAUUCACGCUCUUCUCUGUCCAAGAGCUCCCUUUCUUGUCUUCUUCCCUUCCCGUAUACCAGCAAUCUUUUAAUCAGGGAUCUAACUGCCAUUACCUGAUCUCUCUUCUUUUGUCCACUCAUUGAUGGUGUAGGGGAUUUGGGAGGAUACAAGGUCUAUCUCACUCCUCUCUAGUAAGAAGCAUUCCUUGUUCUAAAAGCUUUUGGGCCGUCACCUUGGUAGGGCGGCCGUUCUCGUCAGCUCCUGAACACUUCAAGAUUCCUACAUUGGGGUUGUAGAAACUUGCUUCUGCAACAUUGGCUGUGGGGAGAAAUGGCCGUGAUUCGGCCUCUACCAUCUCCCAAAAGCCUGGUCCUUCUACGCCCGCUUCAUGAUAGAUAGCCACUUGUUGAUGAAGAGUGGAGGGUAUAGCCAAACCUUGGUGGAUCCAAUCUCUUCCGAGUAAGGCCCCAUAAGUGGAGGUGCAGUCCACCACAAAGAAUGCCAUCAUUAUCCUUUUAGAUCCCAGAUCCACUUCUAGAGGCAAUAUUCCAUGAGUCUUAGUGAUAGCGCCUGAGAAGCUAGAGACUGUGAGGUCUGUGGGAAAAAGAUCCUCCGUACCUCUUCCCAUUUUCUUCAUCUGCUUGGCUGGUAACACAUUAACAGCUGCUCCUCCAUCAAUUAGAAUUCUUUUGAAGGGCACACCUUCUAGGUGAGCUGUAACGUAUAUGGGUUUCAGAUGAUUGGCCAACGAGCUGUUCGGGCGGCUAAACACCAUCUCGUCCGUGUAAAUCCUUAGAGGACUGCCUUUGGAUGCUUCUGCAUAUUCAGCCUUGCCCGAGCUUUCUUCUUCAACUACCUCUAUAUUGACAUGUGCCAUCAUUGGCUCAGUUGUCAAGUAAUCACCCUCCAUAGUAGCGGAUUGAUCAGGUCUGGCAACAAACGUGGCGGACAACACGUAUGUCAUGUUGAUAUGGAAAUUAUUAGGCUCGGGCGGACCUUCUUUAUUAUCCCCAAUCUGGUCCAUAAAUUCAUCCAACCAGGCCAUCGCAUCAGCUGGAAGUAAUGGUUAUGGUGCCCCCUCCUGUUGCUGUUGAAUCAUGCCCGCAUACAGUGUUUGUUUUGGAACUUCACCAAAAGGAUCCACCAAUGACAGAGAAGGUGGUCUCCUUUCAGAUGAAAUAGUUUCAGCAUGGUUAGGACCUGGCUUCCACCCAGGAGUUGGCAUCAUCAUUAGAUCUUCUUGAGCUCUCCUCAAGAUCAUGUACUUCCCGGGGUGUUGGCUCUGUGGUACGUGAUUUCCCUCACCUUCCGUCUUGCUGUCGGCUUUUUCCACCUCUUUCUUACUUCUCCAACGGAGCUGACUACUUCCUCCAGAUGCUGUUUUCUCCAGCUUUUGAUUUUUGGAGGCUUCAGAUGUUGUGGGGGUCUUUAAGGAAUUCAUGUAGGCUUUAUGCUGCCUUUGAACCCUCCUGACCAUAGAGGCUCCUAUUGGUUUAGCAGGCUGUCCGUUCUUCCCGACUACAUACCAUUUUCGCCCGAGGUGGGCAGGAUUUCCCUUUCUACCAGGAUUGGUCACGCUAUCAAUCUUCUUGAUUUCCUUCCCCAUCUGGCCACAUUGAGGAUGAUCUGCACCCCUUCGUAUUUUGGCUUCCAUGUCUUCCGCUUCAUCAGAAACUUCAUGGUUUCGAAAUACCUCUGACAAAGCUUUGGGUUGGGAAUCACCUCCUAGUCGUUGAAAGACGCUUCGGGAAGUGUCUUUUUUCGUUGCCUGCUUAAUCUUUUCGCGGGCUUCUCGUCUUCUUCUUUUCUCCUGAUUAGUUCACGGUCAAUGAGUACUCCAGCCGGGGGAAUUUCAAGCUCACACUCGCACUGGCACUUACUGCACAUGACCAUCCCCUUGAUUAUGGCUGCUUUUGGAUAUUCGGGUGUUUUAAUCACCCCUCAUGUAGGUUUUUCAGCCAAUCUCUUCUCUUCUGGUUCCUUUGUAAUUCUUUCUUUUCCUUUCUCAGCCCAUGUCAUAUUGAUCAUAUUUACAGGGACUUCUGAAAAGGGAACUGCAGGUUUGUCUACCACCAACUCUUCAGGCGGGCUGGUUUUAAGUCUCUUUCCCUCGGGAGGAACCAGGUCUGUUUCUUCUCUGAAGCCUGUGGAAGCUUUCUCCAACCUUUGCAACAUUUGUAGUAACGUAGUUUGUAAACCUUCUGGCAUCUUGACAUAUAUCUUCUGAUCAAGGGGUUCCACUAGGCGUGCCAAAACUAUGUUCGUGUUAGGAAUUUCCGUCGGGGAUGUUUCCUGGCCGAUGAGCACACAGCUCCCCAGGAGGAUGUCGCCGGUUGAGGGCUGCUGUCAGGCUUCUGCUUCGUUGUCGGGCAUUGUCAGGCAAGUCUCGUCGGGCAAGUCUCGUCGGGCAAGACUCUUCGGGCAAGACUCUUCAGGCAAGGCUGAAAGAGAAGGAUAGCGUUAACUUUGAGAGGUGCCUUUGUGGGGCCUAAGGUGUAGGCCUUAAGGCACACAAUCAAGGUUAACAUCUAGGAGCUCAGGCGUGCCACUGCCAUCUUUAGCAUGGCAGAUGUAAAAUGGUUGUCGUGCUUUAGUUGUAUAUAUAUAUGUAUCCAAGAAACCGUGUUAGUUAUAACAGGUGCCUUUAUGGGGCCUUAGGUGUAGGCCUUGAGGCUUCCCAUAAAUAACUAAACCAGUGCUCGAACGCAUCAUAUUUGUUCUCGUGGUUGUAGGAGUUUUCUAACUAUUAUACUUCUGAUUACCCGAAUCCAAGAAGUAGAAUGAACCCAAAUAGGUGCCUUUGUGGGGCCUUAGGUGUAGGCCUUGAGGCUUCCCAUCAGAGUUCAUUCUUAUACUUAGACUCUUUAGAUCGCCGAACGGAAUGAAUCCAAAUGGAUGCUUUUGUGGGGCCUUAGGUGUAGGCCUUGAGGCUUUCCAUUAGAAUCCAUUCCAUGCUCAAGCGUUCUAUGAUAAUCAUGACAUAAUAGAAAGAAAACUAGAAGGUAGGUUGAUUACUUGCGCCCCAAGUAACUUCGGACUUCUCGUUUAUCAAUGACUGUCGUGGAUAGGUUAAGUCCACAUAAAGUUCUUUUUUAUGCCUUGAGGCCAAGGACUUUUAACUGAUCAGAUUUACAUGCCCGAGGGCUUAGGACUUGGAUCUGGUUUGAACACUGACAAUAUAUUCAAAUCGGAUUCAAGUGCUGAGAAAGCUUUUUAAUAGUCAUGUUGCUAGAAAUAACUUGCAUAUAACUGGAAGUAUACAACAUAUUGAAAAGACAAAACUAAAGCAAAGAAGGUCGGGCAAGGUUAAACCUUAUCGGGUAAGGUUGCUCGUCUUGCAGGUUCCUAUCUUUGUAGUUUUGUCAAAGGUUUGAAAGCUUAGAGGGGUAGAGAGAGAGAGAUUACAAAAGAUGAAUCGAUACUACAGCAAGGUUUAACAAGGUAGCAGAGCUAUUACAAAGGGUUGAAGAGAGGGUUAUCCCGAGAGGGAUGAAUGCUGGUCUCGUAAGGGAUGAAGGCUGAUUACAGCUUUGUUUUGAAGGCAAAUCUGGCUUUGAGCAGAGUUUGUGCUUGCAUUUGUUUGUUUGAUUGAGUGUCUUUAAUCUUGGAUUUUCUUUCUUCUUAUAUAAACAACUCGGCUUGGCCUUUGGUAGCAGCAGCUUUGCCCGAAUGCGGUUUGAGGGUGAUGACUCAUCAGCUAUUUUACAUGUAAUGCCACCAUAAAGUGCUUUAUGGGCUGUGUAGCUGACCAGUCUACACCACUUGGCUUUUGGGUAGGUAAGCAAGUGGUCUUCAUGAGCUGCACCAAGUCAGAAAAGGCCUUUCCCUGCUUUCUGGGCUUCGACUGGGCUUCGGUUAUCUCCCUUUCGGGCCUCCUUUUGGGCCAACUCCUUUCUUGAGCCCAAAGUUUCAAGUUUUGAUCCAAACACAAGCAGUUGAUUUCUCCCACGUCGUACAAUACGAGUAUUGCAUGCUAGUUUAUAAAUAUGACUUCUCUAGUGAUGUAUAACUCGUAUAGUUUGCUCUAAUUUUGUUGUGGUAUUAGAGUCAUGUAAUUGGCAUGUUGUUACACAGUAUCCAUUGCCCAUGUAAAUAACCUGGCUCCUAAUACCAUGACAAAAUCAGAGGCGGUAUAAUCAACACUAACUUUUUUGGUUUAUUUAUUUUCAAUGAGCUAGGGAUAAUUACCUUACUAUGAUAGGUUUUGUAAUUUGUGAAAUUCACAAGGAAUCUCCUUCAUUUCAUGUUGGUAGUAAAGGUAUGAAUUGGAGUAUCUUCAAGUUUCAUCUACAUAUUAUUGAUAUCAACAAUUUAACAUUGAAAGAACACUAAAAUUCAGAUUGACAGAUUCAAAUUUGGUGUCACCUCUCCCAUAUAAUUGGGGACUCAGCACAAAUAUGCCUCCCAUAUAUAUACACCGUAAUUUGUAGAUCAUAUGAUGCAGCAGUUGAUAUUUGAAUUCCUUAUUUAAAUCAUUAAAAAUAAAUCCAACCAUCAACUGUCACAUCAUUAUAUAUGUGUCCCAAGCAUUACCGUAUGAAUAUAUAGGUGAAGGAAAAAUUUGUAAAAACAAGUUCGUUUGAGCAACAUCUAUGCAUACAAUGAACAAUUAAAGGAGGAAUCAUGCUUGUGUGCACUCAAAAACAAAACUUUACCCAUGAAAUUCAAGGCUUAGUAGUUGUGGUGAACCAAGAUUCAACUCAAAUCUUAAAGAAAUGAGUUGAGAAACUUUUAUACCUUUGAAGCACCUCUUUGCAUAAGUAAAGGCUAAUCACCCAAGAGAGAGGGCCUUCAUUCCUUACUUCUUAGCUCCAUGGAUUUCUUGGAGGAGGAUGGUUGAAUGGAUUCUCCAAGUUCCCAAGAAAGGGAACCUCUAAGUUUCCACACCAAGGAGGGACUUGAAGAAGAGAUGAGUGACCUUGGAGGAUGAUUGAUACCCCUCUAAGGGGGCCGGCCUCCCAGAGAGAAAAAGAUAGCUUUUGUUCUCUCCAAUUUCCUCAAGAGAGAACCCUAAUGAAUUUUGGCUAUAAAAUCCUUUAUAUAGUCACUUCACUUAAGUGACAAAAAGAACCAAAAACUUUCAUUCAUAAUAUGGCUGGCCUUCUAAGGGCUUUGGGCUAUUUGGGCCCUUUUGAGUCUUUAUUCAUUAAGUUGUCAUACAACUUAAGUUAAUGGGUUUGACAGUUUUAAACCCAAUGGGCCUUGAGGUCCACUAAUUACUCAAAAACUAAAACGAACUUAUUCGUUUGAUUAAUUAACAUAUUAAUUAAUCCUAGCCAUAAAUAAUUAAACCAUUUAAUUACCCCUACUCAUCUCUGUUGUUUCUUCAAUCUCUACCUUACACGGUGUACGAUCCAUAAGGUUCCUUUUAGCGAGGCAGUGGUCGAUUAGAACUCUUCAAAUCGAUUGUGAAUUGAAACUUACUUUCAAUUCUCCCUUUAGUGAUUAUACACCUUUAGGGCUUCCACAAAUCAUGAGUGACACCUAGCAAUAUGUCAUGGCUACCCAAACUAAUCAGAAGAGGUGGAUAACCUAUUCAGUUUGGGAUUACAAUGCAAUACGGUCUUUCUCUAAUACAAUACUCUUGACCACAUUGUUUGGUUUGAUAGUUUAUUCAUGUCUACUAUCCAAUGUGAUUCUCUUACUUAUAUGAUUACCUUGAACGUGAUUUGGAAUGACUUCCUAAAUCUUAUUCAUACUCUGGCCAGAGAUUCUUAAUCAUAUUAUAGAGAAUUCUCCCUCAAACGGUUUGAAGGUUAGAGAUCCCUUGUUGUGCAUUCACUUGCCUCCAUGGCUAAGUGGCUUAACCCCAACUAUGUUGUGGACACCCUCUAACGGAGUGACUUUGACAUAGUCAAAGAUUAAAGACCUAACCAUAAGACAACUAUGAUGCUUCAGGUCAAAUGACUACUUUGCAUUACCCCAACCAUGGGUUCUCAUGUGACAUGAGUAUAAAAACUCCUUGUUGAUCACGUUCAGUGGACUCAUUCUCUAUUGAGCACCUACAUGCUUGUCUUGGUGUCAAUCACACCAAUGACUUGAAACUAGUCACUCUCUCUAAGAGAAGACAUAGCACGUACUGAUCUUAACGGACUGUCAAUGCCCAAUUGGCAAUCCUAUGAUCAUGAACGUUUAGGAUAUGUAUACAAAAGAGAAUGGUCUCAUGAAUCUAACUUCUUUAGGUCACAUUCUCCCAAUUACAUGUUCCUUGGACUUAUCGUUUAAACAUAUAACGUUUAUAUGAGACGGCUUUAAACAAUAAUCUUUGCCCUUUAUAUUAAACUAGAUUAGUUUAAUAUAUGAAACGUUUGUAAAGUAUCAUCAUAUGAUUGGCUUUAGGGCACAUUUCCAACAAUAGGUUUACUUGUUUCUAUUUGUGUUGGUCUAUUUAUUGCUCUGGUGAUAACUUAUUGAUUUGUCCCACAUUGUGCCAAGCAAAAUUUGGUUUGAAGAACCACCUGAUUUUUUUUAUUUGAUGUAUUGUUCAUGGAUUGUAAUCACUAGCUGGUUGGGGUUGAAGCCUUGAAGGGAGGGAGCGUUCUAUUCAGGGUUUAGUUCUUUCAAUCUCAGCUAUUUCUACCCACUUGUGGAAAGAGAGUAGAACUACAAAAGUAAUUGCAUGACCAAGCCUGAUGUGUAGUUUGUUCGGCUCGUAUAUAUCGAUCAUCUCGGUCCAGUUUGGCUCCCAGUAUGUUUAUUGUGUAUUGCUUCUGGUUGUAUUUCAUAGUUAAAUUCAUACAAGAUAGAUUCGUUUAAAAGAAAAAUUAAAGUUUUACCAAGUAUUGUCUAAUUUAUAUGAGGUUUCGUUGAUAGAUGAAAGAAUACAGAGAAUUUACCAUUCACCUUGGAAAAAUAAAUAAAAAUUUACCAUUCACCAUGGAUUUGUAUGAUUAUUAGUUUCAAAGCAAAAACUUAAAUAAUCUUAAACUAGAUCAGUGUCAUUAGCAAAUAUCAAGUUUUAAAACUAGAUUUUGGUAGGUUGCGCGCACCAUGCCCAUGCUGUAGUGCAAUGCUUGGGUGACACUCAAGAGCCCUAAUAGCAAGCUAUUGUAAUGCACUCUUCCUUAAAAUAAUUAAUUUAAUAUCAUGUAAACCAUUGAUUCACAUAUCAAAUAUUAAACUAUUAAACUGAUAAAAACAGAUACUACACUUGAUCUUAGCCAAAAGGCCGAAAAGGUAAGGUAUGCUUUUUCUUAUGUUUGGCUUCUGUUUUUAUAUGCCCCUUCAUUAAAAUACCUCUCCCAUACGGCCAAUGUGGUAUAUGAAACUUGUAUUUCUAUGACAUUUUCUUAUAUGUCAUCGUGCCCAUACAUUUGUAAUUGUAUCCUCUGUGAUACUAAGGAGUAAGGACGACCAAAUUGGAGGGAGGAGGAAAGAACAUAUACUCUGUCUACACUCAAAAGACUUUAUAGAACUACAAAGCAUUCUCUCUAAAAUGUUCGGCUUUGUUUCAACUUAUGUAGCAUGAAUGCUACAUGUAUUAAUUUAGCCGUUAGAUUUGAUUUUCACAACUAUUUAAAUAUUUUAUUUUCAAUCUCAACCAUUCAUUUCCCGUAUCACUCCAUGCUACAUACCUUUGAAUAAAAAUUGGAAAUUUUCAACGCCAAAGUAUCUCCAUAUUUUAAUUAUUUUUUGGUUUUCCAAGCUGAUUGGAAGAGAUGUGAGCCCAAAUUGGAGGAACUCUCCAAUAUUGUGCCCUAGACUUAGGGGUGCAAGUUGGAUUGAAACUCAAGGUUCUAAAAGGUGUUAGGCCCGGGGGGGGGAGGGGGGUGGGGCCUAGUUUUUUUUUUCUUUUAAUUAACUUUAUUAUAUAAUAUAUUAAGUUUCUACUUAUACUUAAAAAAUAUAUAAUUGUAUUGGAAAACAUAAAUUUAAAAAUAGAAUGAUAUAUAAACUAUAAAGUACUAAAACAUUAAAAAAAAAAAAUAUAUAUAUAUAGUACUAAAACAUAUUAAAAAUAUGAGGAACAAAUAUAUAAUAAGUGUUAUAUAAUAUGUAAAAUAAAAGUUAUAUAUCAAUAUGUACGUACAAUUUAUUGAAAAUAUAAAAUGUAAAAUAGAAGUUAUCUAAUUUCUAUAUAAGUGAGAAUCGCAACAAAAUAAACAAAAUGUAAGCUAGGCAGGAAAUAAACAAAAUGUAAGUCAUUUUAUUAAAUAAACAAAAUAAGCAAAAAAGGUCACAAAAACACCCAGUCUGCCUAGACCCAUCUAGGCCGUUAGGCCACUUAUGUCCACCUAGGUAGGCUAGGCAGGAAAUUCAAAUUGUAGUAUGAAAAUCUCGAGUUAAAACCGAUUCAAAAAAUAUCAAUAAAUUCCGAUAAUCCGAAUAUUUCAAAAUUGAAACUAAAGUUUAAUUUUAACACUUUUUUAUUUAGCACUAGAAUACUUGUUUCCAAUUCGAUCCAACCAAAAUCACCUCAACCUGGAAUCGAGAUAGGUACUAGUCACAGUGAAAGUUUAUUUCUAUAGCUUUGGAAUCGUUCUUCUUGAAGAAUUUAAGGGAAACUUUAUUAGUAUAGGAGGCUGAUGAUUGAUGAUGAACCUGCCCACUGCCCAGCAGCGAGUUCAUUUUUCCCAAAUCACAAAAUGGUAGUUUUGAAUAGUGGUUUAAACACAUAUUUUCUUCAUUUUACGGUUACCGGUGUUUGGUUAAGCUCUCAAAUUAAUUUGUGGUAUCAGAACCAUGUUAUAUGCAUGUUGUUACAUGGUAAUGUCGCUCAUGUGAAUAACCUGACUCUAGGAUACCAUAAACAAAUUUACGACUUAGUGAAACCAAAGUUUUUAUUUCAUGUACUUAUAUUGUUAAAUUCAUUACUUCUUACCACAUCUCCUGAAUGUUAAUAGGGAUCCAUUUGUAGCUCGUCCCACGUUGAAAAAAGAUCUCCACUUAUGCCAACUAGUUGUGGGUUAGAGGCUCAUAUUCUGAUGUGGUAUUAGAGUUUUGUUAUUUCAAACUGGGUUUUGUUACUUAUAAUAGGUCUAUUGAAUCAAUCAUGAUCAGUAAAAAAUUUAAAAAUAUUUAACAAAAUUAUCAAUCAUGAUUAAGUCUAUGGGACUCCAUGGAAUUCAUGUUUAAUUGGAGGACCAGAUGCAUCCAUUUCAUUCAAAUCAAGAAAUACAACGCAAUCAAAUAAAUAGCAAAUACCUGAAUUUGAAGAUAAAGCGGGGAAAUAUAGAAAUCUUCAAGUCUUAAACAGAUUGGAGCAUAACCCUGUUUUUGGCAACAAAACAACUAUUUUCAGAAAAUUACAAAAAGACAUAAAACAGGAAAUGAAAUUACUCAAAAGUUUAGAGAAUCUGCAAAUUGCUACUGUGGAGCCAAAAAUAUUCACUAGGCGACACGUGGACUUUUGAACGAAAGAGGACAAAAAUACCCUUGAGGCAUACCGGGAUUCCUACGCGCAAGCAGCAGGAAAUUAUCUUUCAACCAAGUCAAAAUUGCUCAAAAUAGGUAACAAUUUAAAGCUUAUUUCAUCAAAUCCUUUCCAUAAGGUAAUUCCCAAAACCUAAUUCAUUUUAUAUGUUUUAUAUUCCAUUAUUUAGCUAAUCAAUUAGCUAAAUAAUAUUUUCCUUUCAUGUUUCCUAAAAAUUGACUAAUUAAGGGAUUAAUCACCUAAUCAAUCCCUUAAUUAUCAAUUUGAAACAUCCACUCAAACCUAAAAAAUACUAUAGGGCCGGCUAUCCCAUUCAAAACCUAAACCAUUACCUUUUGUUACCUUUUCCCACCAUUUCUUCCCUUUUAUUAGCCAAUCAAUACCAUAAUUACUAUAACAUUUCCUUUCAUGGUUAAUUAGCCAACUAAUUGGCUAAUUAAACCAAAAAUAAAACCUAAAAUUCCCACCUAGUAGCCAGCCACAUUUCCUCCCUUUAUUCUUUACCUUUUUGAUUUUCUCCAUCUUAUUACCCAAAUAAAGCUAAUCAUUCAAUUUGAUAACACCUCAUUUAUUUCUAUCAUAUUUUAUUAGCCAAUAAAGUGGCUAAUUAAACCACAAAUUCACCAAAAAAUGGAGAGAGUGGCCGGCCAUUCCUUGAAGAAAAUGGAGAAGCCUAAUCCUAUAAAUAGGCUCCUAUUUUCACCAAAAACUCAUUCCAAUCCUCUUGCAAAAAUUCCAAAACACUCUAAACACUAUUUCUCUCUAAAAUUCUAACUUUGGCAUCGGAGGUUCUUCGGCCAAAGCCCCCCCAUUCAUCGUGGGCGCGUGAGGCUUUUGGCCUUAACCUAAGAUGCUAGUUGUUUUGUAGGUGCAAAUUCGUCCAAGAUCGAAGAGGAGAAAAUUUGCAUCCACAAAUUGGUGCUUUCAUUAAGAGUUGAAAUCCAUACUCGUAGAAGACUCUCGCACAAAAAGGUUUUUUCUCUAUUUUUUAGUCCAUUUGAAUAUUUUUCAUACGUUCUUAUUAUUAGAAUUUUUUAUUUGCAAAGGUUUUUUGAUAAAACGUAUAAGAAAAAUAUAAUGGCUAGAAAUUUAGAAAAUACCACAAGUGAGAAUUCAAAUACUCAAGAAAUGGGAUUACGGAGAUCCACGAGGCAAAAUACGGUCGUAAGUAGAGUGGCACCACCACCACGAAGUUCCACCAUGGCCCAAGCCGUGCCAUCCAAGUUUGCACGGGCCCAAACCCAAGCUUCGCAUUCGCAUGCACCACGCACUGAGCAGCCUGCUCCCGUGAUCCAGCCUGCUCAUGUAGCCCAGCCUGCUCCACUGAUCCAGCCUGCUCCCAUGAUCCAGCCUGCUCCCGUGAUCCAGCCUGCUCUCAAGGUUUCUCAAGCUGCUCAAGUCGGCCCGAGACAAUCUCAACCAUCCGGACCAAUCAUCGAGGCUGGGGUAUUUUCACCACAUUUCUCCGCAGAUUUGACAUUCCCCAACUCAAAUCUCACACUUGGAGCCAAUCACCCUUCUAUUGUUCAAGGAGGUGCAUUCCACCCAAGUUCUUCUAAUCCGAAUGGCGAACAAAACUUGUCCCGACAAGUCAUAGAGUUGACGAGUGCCCUUGCACAACAAACAACCUUGGUGAAUCAACUUUUACAACGCACUGAGAUCCAACGUGCCCCAGAUGAAGUAUCCCGAAGUAGGACAAGGGCAGGCGAGGAACCUCUCAAGCAGCGUCCUGGAAAGCAGCCACUCAACCAACCACAAACGGAGCAUUCAGGUAGUGCACACUCUCGAUUGGGCCCCCGAGAUAGCGUAUACUCCCGUCUUAGUGCACGGAGGAGCGUGCACUCUUGACUAGGCCCGAAGGUAAGUAUACAUUCCCGGUUGGGGCCACGCUUUGAUAAUCGACAUGGGCAGCCUUCCAGACAAAGUAUUCAUUCGCGGUUAGGCCCGCAAGGAGUAUCCUCCACAUCACAUCGGAGCAGUCAGCCUGGCAAACGGAAGGAAACAAUCGUUCAGUCCGAUUCUAGUUUAACCGGCGGCCCGUAAAAUCCUUCGCCUGCUAGGAAUCCAUCUCAUACACCGCAGCCACGACAUAGACGAGCUGAGCGCGUAGAAUAGCAGCCUAGACCGGUAGGUCGAGACCAGGGGCAGCCGAAGACUCCGCUAUCCCAACAAAGACAAAUUCAGGAAGAGGUAGAAAGGCUUUUCAAUGAACGGAUGCGUGAUUUCCGACGCAACGAAAUGGUUGACGAAGCACUAAGUCGAGAUAUGUCCAACAUAAGUAGGUCACCUUUCACGGACGAAAUCGAGCAGGCAGAGCCUCCACGCAAGUUCAGCAUGCCACACUUCACAUCUUUCAAAGGAGACGGGGAUCCCGAAAGACACUUGAAACAUUACCGAAGUGCGAUGGUCCUCUAUCGGAAUAAUGAUGCCCUUAUGUGCAAAAUAUUCGCCACUACUUUACAAGGCGAGGCACAAGAUUGGUUUCAUACCUUGCCGGCACGAUCCAUCCAGAAUUUUGAUGAUCUUUCCUUGGUUUUCACCAAAGAAUAUUCAUCUUAUCGUUCGAUCAAGAAAAAGUCCGAUCACUUGUUCAACGUAAAGAAAAACCCAAAAGAGUCACUUCGCGAUUACGUGAAGAUAUUCAAAGCAGAGAAGGCGAAGAUCGUCGGAUGCGAUAACUCGAUUGCAAGUGCAGCCUUCCAAAAAGGACUACCAGCAGAUCACCCACUGUUUGGAGAAAUGAUCAUGAAAGAAGACCUAACUCUAGCAGAUUCCUUUGCUCUGGCAGAGAAGCAUGCACUUUGGGACGAAGCUCGACAAGCAGAAAAGGUUCCCGAAUAGCCUAGAAAAAAGUUGGCAUCUACUCAAAAGAAGGAGGAUGGAAAGCAACCCAGCAAAGGCAGGCUGGAGGUCAAGUGCAAGGACCGACCCACGACCAAAGAAGGCCUGAUAACCAAUAACUAUUCAAAAUUCUCAAUUCCGAUUCAUCAAAUUCUUCGUGACAUCAAGAAUGAACCAUGGUUCAAGUUGCCGAAACAGUCAAAAGGAGAUACUUCCAAGUUGGACCACACCAAAUAUUGCGCAUUCCACCGAGGUCCUGGGCACACAACCAAUGACUGCUAUACUUGGAAGAACUACCUAGAGAAACUCGUAAAAGAAGGGAAAGUCGAUAGAUAUUUGGACAAGCCAGCUGAGCAGCCAAAAAGGAAUGCAGACGGAAAUGAGGAGCCACCAACUAAGAUGAUUCGAAUCAAUGGCAUUUUCGCUGAAUCCGAGCACUUGGGGGCCACUAAUAACUCCAAAAAGAGGAAGAUCCAGCAGGCUUUACUAAUUUCACAAGUUCAAGCAGUUGAUACCUAACCUGGACCUAUCAUUGGCUUCACAGAGCAGGAUGCGGAAGGAGUCGACUUCCCACACGACGAUGCAUUAGUAGUAUCUGUCCAACUAGCCCAUGCUAUAGUCGACAGGAUGAUAGUUGACAAUGGAAAUGCAGUCAACCUACUUCAACUUUCGAUCAUUCAAAAGUGGGCCUAGAAAGUACAAUCAUACGCUGGGCAGAGGUACUUACUGGAUUCAACGGACACACCUCAAUUGUCAUCGGUCAUAUCACACUUGACGUAAAAACACCGCCAGUCGUCUCAAAGCAAACAUUUACGAUCGUAAGCGACCCGUCUCCCUACAAUGGGAUUCUUGGGAGACCUUGGUUGAUCAAGCUAGAUGCCGUCACUUCCGUCAAGUAUCAAAAAAUCCGAUUCCGCAUCCCGGGAGGAGGAGUUGGAGAGAUCAAGUCUGACCAGGUUUCAUCCCGACGAUGCACUGUGCAAAUGUUGAAAGAAUCAAAUAAGGAGACCUUUACCCCCGUAGAGGUUACCGAAGUCCAAAAGGACAAAGAAGCUACCAAAUAGCAAUUACAGUAGGAGGACCGAGAAGAUGGCACCCAAGAAGACGAAAUACUCUUUCAAUAUGGUACUUUAUACUUUUUAUUGUGAAUAUACUAUAUUAUUAUGUAAUGAAUAUAUGUACUCUUGCAGGGCAACAUAAUCAAGAGACUAUCAAUGUUCCAUCAAAUAUGCCAACCUCGUAUCCAUCAUUUCAUGACUUUUAUAAUCAGGUUUGUAUUGAAACUUAUAUUUGGGGUUAUAAGUCACAUUUUGUGUUAUCAUUCUAACAUUUUGUUUAUUGAUUUAGGUUAAUGGCAUUAGACAUCUUGGAUAACACAACUUUAGCUCUUCAACUUCAAGAAUUCUUAGAAAAAUGAGCAGAUGCUAGAAACAUAGAGCUCAUGGAUUGAAGAUGGAUGAAUUGAAGAGACGAUGUGGGAUUUUUUUUUUCUUUUUAUUUAUGUAAUCUGGCAGCUUGACAAUUAGUCAAAAUAACUUUUAGAUUCACCUUGGAUAUCAAGUUUUUUAACAACUUAUGGUUUGAUCAAAGUUUUAUUUCAAAUAGUAUUAUCUAUAGUUCUUAAUUAUAUUUGGUAGAGAUGUACUGAAACCUAAGACACGGCAAAACAGGGAAAGAAAGAAAGAAACAAAACUGGGAAAGAAAAAAAGGGGAGGGAGUACUAAAACCUAAGACACGGCAAAACAUUGGGGGGGGCUGAGAUUUGGGAAGAAAAAACAAGAGGGAAAGAAAUAAAAAAGGAAACAUAUGGCAAUAACCUUCGGCAAAACAUGGGGGGGGAUUUGGGAAGAAACAAAAAAGGAAACAUAAUUAAUAUGUAUAAUAUAUUCAUUAGUUAAAAAAAUAAUUAUAAAAUUUUUAAAUAUAAAAGAAAGAUAAAAGAUUAUAUUUAAGAUUUGCCACGUGGCGAGUUUUGAGUGGACUGUAGUGCCACUCAAUGAAGUCCAGUGACAGGCCAAGCCCCACACAAGUUUUUCUCGUAUUUUUGGCACUUUGAAACACAAUCCACCUUUUCUUAUUGGCCCUUCACAAACUUCUCCGAGUACAACCUGCAGACAUAAACAAUACCCAUUAUACCUUUUUCAGAUGAAUUUUAGAGAUAGAGGAGAGAGAUUAGGGUUUAAGGACAAUAAUGAAAACUAAUUUUAUGCUGAGAGGAUUUGGUGAAGCAAUGUGAUAGCCAGGAGUUCGAGAGCGACGGAAGGAAAAAUGUAAAAGUUGUAGUGGAAGCAGAGCUUUGGAGAUCUGAUUUUUUGGAUGACAGAAAGCAGAAUGACGUAGAAGAGUUAAGAAGAGGAAGAAAAAGAUCGAACAGAAGAUGGAGCAAUGACGGAUGAGUGGAAUCGAAAGGGAAAAACCACCCUUUCACUGUACAAAAGCCGAGAGAAACCAUUCUGAGACAAAUAUUUGGAGGGCAUUUUCGUCUGCGCACUGUCCAUGAACAGUGCACGCAGGUUUAGGUUUUAGUAUAGGAAUAAUAUAAUUUUAAUAUUUUAAAAAAUAAGUUUAAGGAUGGUGUCAUUUAAAAAGAUGAUAUUCUAGGUGUCAAAUUGCAAUAGGCGAGGACCUCUAGCUGUCUUGUGUGCAGGGCGCCUCGAAAAAUGUCUCGUUAUUCACUUAUAAGACUUAAAUGUUAUAGUCAUCCAAUAUGUGUUGUCCAUGUGCGUAACUGAGCUCUCAUACUAACCAUAACAUAAUUAAAACGAUGGGCGAGGCCGCAUUUUUUAAUUAUUUUUAGCUUCAAUGAGCAAUAUUUUAAAAUUGAUUCUCUAAACUUUCAAAGCUUAAUUUGAGAGUUUGAGGAAGAUGAUUGACCAUUAUGCUCCCAUUUUCUUUCAACUUUAUCAUCAACAGUCCGUCUGAGGAGAAACUUAUGUACAAAGAAAGGGGGAAGCAUGCAAAAUAUAGGAAAAUCUACCAACUUCAUACACUAUCCCAUGAUAUCCUAAACAUGGUAAGAUGCCCUCCUGCCUAAUCUAUAUGCCUGUGUCUCAAAAAGUAUUAACUUUCUUAUUGAAACAAACGAAACGAAACGAAUUUGAUUGAAACUUUCACGGAGAGCUUUCGUAUCCUUCUUCAGUGGGUGGCAAAGACUCAAACGCUUCAGAAAGAGAUUCAAGCAUGUUUGUCACUUCCGCUGUAUCGUCCAAAUAAUAUGUAGCCUUGCUAGGCUUUUGCCCAACCGUGCAAGCAAAAACCGAAGGAUUUGGAGAGAGAACUUUCUUCUGCAUCGAGUUACCAAAUAUCUCAAACAUGUCCUCAUCGGAUCUGUCAUCGCCAAUACAGAGCACAAAGUCUGCGUGUUUUCCAUUUUCCGCCAUUGAUGAGAAAAUCUUCUCUGCUACAUGUCCUUUACUAACUCCCUAGAAUCAUACAAGAACGAAACAAACAAAAUAUAUGUUGGAUUGAAACGAAAGCAAAAGCAAGGGAAAAGCGGAAGUAGAGAUUGAUGAAUCUAUAUACACGUAUACCUGAGGCUUUACUUCUACAAUGAACUGACCGUUCUUGACAGCAACAGGUUCAUUUGCCAAGACACUCUCUAGAUGAUCCAACAUCUCCUUUGCCUGGGAGGACCCGAAACCAGGGUCUGCGUCACGAUAUUGCCAAACCAAAGCACUUUCCUUUCUUUCAAUAGAAGAACCAUCAGUAGCCUCCGUAUACAAUUGCAUCACGGGUUCAACAGUCUUCAUCCAGCCAAACUCAAAACCCUGAAGACAGGUUUCCCAUUCCUGAUUUUGUGACCAUCUGAGAAGUAGCAUAUUGAUCGUUGUGAAAGCUCCAUUAACGUUCAAGUUUUUUUUUUUAAGCACAGUGUAUUUAUCUUUCAGUUUCCCCAUCAUUAGCAAAAACACAAGCUAUAACUUAACUGACAUUUGAGAUAGUUUUGACGAGAGAGAGAGAGAGAGAGAGAGAGAGAGAGGCACACCUUAAGAAGUAACCAUGCUCAGCCGCAAUUCCCAUCCUCUGACAGGGAGAAAACCACUUGCUUAAGCACUCCCUCCCUCGGCCAGUGACAAUGAAAACUGUGUUUUUCGGGUCCACACAAAGUGUGUUCAUAAUUGAGAUUACCUUCUGACUAGGGGACUUGUCAAUUGAGUUCUGGGGCAUCACAGUACCAUCGUAGUCCAACAGAAUGGCCCUAUUUUGUGCCCCUCUGUAAGCCGAAACAAUAGCAUCAAUUGAAAGUUUUCUGAAAUUAGGAUCAAGUGCCACAACUCUGAAUCCAAAGCCAAAACCAAUUCCCCAACAUCUUCUCUUAAAAUGGUCUGCACAAGCUCUCUGCAUGUCUUGCAAGAAACUGCGCGACCAAUAAGCCACAUCGUGUGUACUAACAUACCGAUAAUGCUUCUCAUGUCGCAGUUCUUUCUCUGAAUCAAGCACUGAAAUCGCCACAUUCAGUGCCUCCCCAGUUGUUUCAACAUUCCAUGGAUUGACACGGAUUGCCCCACUGAGUGAUGGAGAACAUCCAAUAAAUUCUGACACCACUAACAUGCUCUUCUUUGGACCACCGAAAUUUGAACACGAAUUAGAACCAGAUAUUCCUUGUCUGCAAACUACAUAUUCAUAUGGAGUAAGGUUCAUCCCAUCUCUAACGGCUGUCACAACGACACACUCAGCAAUGUUGUAAUAGCAAAUCUUCUCGUUAAUGGAAACUGGCCUGUCAAUAAUGAUUAUUGGCUCAUAGCCUGGUUGACCAAAUUCUGCAUUGAUCCGCCUGCAGCCUUCUUGUAUUUCUGCUCGUAUUUCCUCCAAAUCUAUCCCUUUACCUCUCACAGGGUUUAGAAUCUGGACCAGCACUGCCUUUCCCUGCCAAUUUGGAUGUUGCUUCAGCAUCUGUUCCAUUGCUAGAAUUUUCAAAUUAAUUCCUUUAAAAAUGUCCAUAUCAUCUAUACCAAGCAACAUUGUUUUCCCUUCAAACUGUUGUGUAAGUUCCCUCACUCUACUCUCGUCAUCCGCCACCUUCAUCACCGAUUCUAUCCAACCCAUAUGAACCCCAACUGGCAUAAUCUUGAUCCUGAUGUUCCUUCCAUAAUAUUCCAAUCCUAAGUAACCCCUCUUUGACUGAUAUACCAAGCCCAACAUCCGACUGCAACAUGUCAGAAAAUGACGAGCAUAAUCAAAGGUGUGGAACCCAAUAAUAUCUGCAUUGAGUAAAGCCUUAAGUAUUUCUUCUCUUACAGGAAGAGUUCUAUAUAUCUCAGACGAGGGAAAUGGACUGUGAAGGAAAAAGCCCAUCCUAACUCGAUUAAAACGCCUUCUCAGGAAAGUUGGCAGCACCAUCAAAUGGUAAUCAUGAAUCCAGAUAUAAUCUUCAUCCGGGUUUAUAAGCUCAACCACUCUUUGAAAAAACAACUUAUUAGCUGAUAUGUAAGCUUCCACAAAGACCGAUCAAAUCGGCCUCCUUGAUCAGCUGAAAACGGCAGCAUGUAAUGAAAAAGUGGCCAUAAAUGCCUCUUGCAGAAACCAUCAUAGAAUUUUGACAGAAUGUCAGGGGGUAGAAAAGUCGGAACACAUUUGAAUCUCUCCAGUAAGACCUGUGACACAUCAUCCUGCUCUUUAGGAUCAACGGAAACCUUCAACGAGCCAACAUAAAGAACCUCCAUGUCUUCUGGCAGUCCAUCCUUAAGCUGCAAAAGCAAAGAAUCCUCAUUCCAACUGAAAGUCCAACCUUUAUUAUCCUCCCUUCUCUUUGCUUUCACAGGAAGUUGGUUAGCUACAAUGAUCACCCGAUCGGAAGCAAUUGAGGAAGGUUGAUCAGACGACACACUACGAGCUUGAUCAUCGUCAAGAUCGGACAAAUUUCCAGGAGCUGUGUUCACCCUUGGGAACCGUCUUCUUUUCCCCUCCAUGGUAGGGAAAUUCCCUGAUGCCAAAUCCAAAAGAUUUAUGUAUGACUGCGACAUUAUUUCCAACUCUGUUUAUAAAUGGAUAAUCUCACGAGACUCUUUUCUCAGACAAUCUGCAUUUCACAUCAGUACAACAUAAAUUCCAAUAAAAAGUACAAUAAAAGAAAAGAAAUAAACAAAGUUACAAACCAAUCAAUGCAGUGAAAAUCAAACACACAACUAAAUUAACAGCGGAAAGAAGACCGAUUCACAUUCCAAAAAUAAGAGAAUCUGCUGACAAAUCAAGAAUGUUUCCUCUACAUAUAUUCUAAUCUCGACGAUGCAAAAAAUCCCCAAGAUUCUUUUUCCCUCUCAAUGGGUUACGUUACACCACAGAUUCUUCUCAAGCACCCAACUUUUCUCCCAAAAGAACACAAAACCUAAACACUGAGAUACCACAUUCAGAAUUCAUAUCCACAUUUUACAAAAAUCGAAUGAAAUGCAAAAACAGAGAGGACCCCAACAAGAUUAAUGAGGCAAAAUUGCAGUAAACCACAAAGAACAUGAAAUCUAAAGCCUACCCAGAUCCCAAAAGGGUCCAUAAACGAUAACCCAAUUCUUCACAAACCCUAAUCAUUAAAAAAAUAAAAAAUAAAAAAAAAAAGAGAUCAGGAGAAGAAGAUUGAAAAACUGACCUCUGUCUCUCUAUGUAGUAUUAAAACCAAAACGAUAUGUGUGUAGAGGGUUUGAAUGUAUAUAUGAACAAGGGGUUUGAUUUGCUUUGAAUUUACAUAAUCUCAUAGUGUUCGAUUGACAUCUACAAUUUUCAUUCCUGAAUUGUAUUGGGAUAAUUAGGGCUAAUGAAUAUUAUUAAGAGAAUUGUAUAUAUCUCAGAAAUUAAUAAGGCAAAACAAUUAAUGAAAAUAUUAACUUGCCCUUCAUGUAAACGUGGAACAAAUCCACGAGGAAUUAUACGAGCACCCGCUAGCCCAACACGACAGCCAAUGAGAGUGUGGGAUUUCACGCGGCGAGCCAAUAACACGCGAUGAAGGUGACGGAGUGGUGUGCGUGCAGGGUGAUUUUAUCAGAGUUGUGUUAGAAAAUUGGAUAAGGUCAGCCAGCUGGCAUCACGCGGCGACUAGACACACGUUCAACACGUGAGCUGUGAGAACUGGACACGUGAGACGAGGAGAGUAGGGAGACCCGGGAAGGGUUUCAGCGCGUUGAACCGCCUCGGCCUUUGGUGCGUACGGACGGACCAAUCAGCGGCGCGAGUUCAGUGGUGACUGGGAUUCACAGCUGGGAUGCUGCCACUUGGGAGUUUUUCAAUUAUUCGCGCAUCUUGAACCCUCUCUCUCCUCUACUCUCACUCCCCAAUCUUUUUUCCUCCGCCGCUGCAACUGCAUGCCUCCUGCCUCCUGCCUCCUGCCUCCGCCGCCGCCG